RNAcentral lists this ribosomal RNA (1699 nucleotides) under Salmonella enterica subsp. enterica serovar Kentucky. RNAcentral describes it as "bacterial LSU rRNA". It matches the Rfam family "Bacterial large subunit ribosomal RNA", at positions 1252 to 2925 of the family's 2925-position model. The record is from RNAcentral. Lineage: Bacteria; Pseudomonadati; Pseudomonadota; Gammaproteobacteria; Enterobacterales; Enterobacteriaceae.
GAAGGUGGCCUGUGAGGGUUGCUGGAGGUAUCAGAAGUGCGAAUGCUGACAUAAGUAACGAUAAAGCGGGUGAAAAGCCCGCUCGCCGGAAGACCAAGGGUUCCUGUCCAACGUUAAUCGGGGCAGGGUGAGUCGACCCCUAAGGCGAGGCCGAAAGGCGUAGUCGAUGGGAAACGGGUUAAUAUUCCCGUACUUGGUGUUACUGCGAAGGGGGGACGGAGAAGGCUAUGUUGGCCGGGCGACGGUUGUCCCGGUUUAAGCGUGUAGGUGUGUGUUCCAGGUAAAUCCGGUUCACUUUAACACUGAGGCGUGAUGACGAGGCACUACGGUGCUGAAGCAACAAAUGCCCUGCUUCCAGGAAAAGCCUCUAAGCAUCAGGUAACAUCAAAUCGUACCCCAAACCGACACAGGUGGUCAGGUAGAGAAUACCAAGGCGCUUGAGAGAACUCGGGUGAAGGAACUAGGCAAAAUGGUGCCGUAACUUCGGGAGAAGGCACGCUGACACGUAGGUGAAGUGAUUUACUCACGGAGCUGAAGUCAGUCGAAGAUACCAGCUGGCUGCAACUGUUUAUUAAAAACACAGCACUGUGCAAACACGAAAGUGGACGUAUACGGUGUGACGCCUGCCCGGUGCCGGAAGGUUAAUUGAUGGGGUCAGCGCAAGCGAAGCUCCUGAUCGAAGCCCCGGUAAACGGCGGCCGUAACUAUAACGGUCCUAAGGUAGCGAAAUUCCUUGUCGGGUAAGUUCCGACCUGCACGAAUGGCGUAAUGAUGGCCAGGCUGUCUCCACCCGAGACUCAGUGAAAUUGAACUCGCUGUGAAGAUGCAGUGUACCCGCGGCAAGACGGAAAGACCCCGUGAACCUUUACUAUAGCUUGACACUGAACAUUGAGCCUUGAUGUGUAGGAUAGGUGGGAGGCUUUGAAGUGUGGACGCCAGUCUGCAUGGAGCCGACCUUGAAAUACCACCCUUUAAUGUUUGAUGUUCUAACGUGGACCCGUAAUCCGGGUUGCGGACAGUGUCUGGUGGGUAGUUUGACUGGGGCGGUCUCCUCCUAAAGAGUAACGGAGGAGCACGAAGGUUGGCUAAUCCUGGUCGGACAUCAGGAGGUUAGUGCAAUGGCAUAAGCCAGCUUGACUGCGAGCGUGACGGCGCGAGCAGGUGCGAAAGCAGGUCAUAGUGAUCCGGUGGUUCUGAAUGGAAGGGCCAUCGCUCAACGGAUAAAAGGUACUCCGGGGAUAACAGGCUGAUACCGCCCAAGAGUUCAUAUCGACGGCGGUGUUUGGCACCUCGAUGUCGGCUCAUCACAUCCUGGGGCUGAAGUAGGUCCCAAGGGUAUGGCUGUUCGCCAUUUAAAGUGGUACGCGAGCUGGGUUUAGAACGUCGUGAGACAGUUCGGUCCCUAUCUGCCGUGGGCGCUGGAGAACUGAGGGGGGCUGCUCCUAGUACGAGAGGACCGGAGUGGACGCAUCACUGGUGUUCGGGUUGUCAUGCCAAUGGCACUGCCCGGUAGCUAAAUGCGGAAGAGAUAAGUGCUGAAAGCAUCUAAGCACGAAACUUGCCCCGAGAUGAGUUCUCCCUGAGACUUUAAGUCUCCUGAAGGAACGUUGAAGACGACGACGUUGAUAGGCCGGGUGUGUAAGCGCAGCGAUGCGUUGAGCUAACCGGUACUAAUGAACCGUGAGGCUUAACCUUACAA